This 2055-nucleotide ribosomal RNA is filed under the name Triticum aestivum (bread wheat). RNAcentral's name for it is "partial small subunit ribosomal RNA". The record is from RNAcentral. Lineage: Eukaryota; Viridiplantae; Streptophyta; Magnoliopsida; Poales; Poaceae.
AUGGCGACAAUGCGGCCUCAAACAAUCCUACUACCGCCGCGCAUCGACCCCAUCUUCAUCAUCGACGGCAAUGGAGGUUCACUAGUCAACGGCAACGACAUUGGUGAUGGUAAACACUUCUAUUGUGCCAAGUGCAUGUCUGUCGUGGCAUGUGCAUGUAUUCGGCCCGGCUUCAGCAUGUGCGACCAUGAAUUCUGCUCGAGCUGUGUUGCCAUGAAGCUACCCCAGAACGUCGCCCGCGUCAAAUGCACUGGGGAGAGCUCGACGGGGUCGGAGAAAUAUCACGGCCUGACGAUCUUGCGGCCUGAAACAGUCCAGUUACCGUCGCGCAUCGACCCCAUGUUCAUCACCGAGGGCAAUGAAGGUUCACUCAGUGAGGGCAAAGAAGGUUCACUCAGUGACAGUAAGCGCUUCUACUGUGCCAAGUGCAUGCAUGUGGUGCCAUGUGCAUGUAUGAGGUACAACUUCACCAUGUGCGACCACGACUUCUGCUCAAGGUGUGUCGCCAUGAAGCUGCACCAGAACGUCGCCCGCGUCAAAUGCACUGGAGAGAGCUCGACAGCGUCGGAGGAAUAUCGCGGCGUGACAAUGUUGCGACCUGAAACGGUCCAAGUACCGUCACGCAUCGACCGCAUGUUCAUCACCGAUGGCAAUGAAGGUUCACCGGUGGACGACAUCACCAAUGGCAAGCGCUUCUUUUGUGCCAAGUGCAUGCAUGUCGUGCCAUGUGCAUGUAUAAGGUCCAACUUCACCAUGUGCGACCACGACUUCUGCUCGAGGUGUGUCACCAUGAAGCUGCGCCAGAACAUCGACUGCGUGAAAUGUACUGGAGAGAGCUCGACUGCGUCGGAAGAAUAUCGUGGCGUGACAAUGUUGCGACCUGAAACGGUCCAAGUACCGUCACGCAUCGACCCCAUGUUCAUCACCGAUGGCAAUGAAGGUUCACCGAUGGACGACAUCACCGAUGGCAAGCGCUUCUUUUGUGCCAAGUGCAUGCAUGUCGUGCCAUGUGCAUGUAUAAGGUCCAACUUCACCACUUGCGACCAUGACUUCUGCUCGAGGUGUGUUGGCUUGAAGCUGUGCCAGAACGUUCCUCGUGUCAAAUGUACCGUGGACAACUCAACAGCGGCGGAGAGAUACCACAGCAUGGCGAUGGUGAGGCCUGAAACUGUAUCAUCGCGCAUUGGCCCUAAGUUCGUUACCGGUGGCAAUGAAGAUUCACCGCUGGUGGACAGCAAGGACAUCGGCGAUGGUAAGCACUUCUACUGUGCUGAGUGCAUGCAUGUGGUGCCAUGUGCAUGUAUACGGUCCAACUUCAGGAUGUGCGACCACGAGUUCUGCUCAAGGUGUGUCGCCGUGAAGCUAGGCAAGAACAUCGCUCACGUCGGAUAUUCUGAAGGUGGGGAUGGUGAUGAUGAUCUGUUCUAUUGCAACAUCUGCAUGGAGAUGGUGGCAAGGACCCUCAAGUUCAGCAUCAACUCGUGUGACCACGUCUUCUGCUCAAGCUGUAUCACCCAGUACGUCGCCGCGAAGCUGGACAACAAUGUAGCUCGCGUCGAAUGCCCCGACCCAGGCUGCAAGGGCGGUGUCAUUGAGCUGGAGAGGUGCCAUGACAUCAUUUCCCCGGACGUCCUCGACAAAUGGGGUUUCCUGCUGUGUGAAUCUGCGCUUGGCACCAAGAGGAUAUACUGCCCAUACAGAGAAUGCUCGGCGCCUCUGCUUGCUGACAGCGAGGCCGGGGCGGCUGCGGUCACGGAGGCGGAGUGCCCGCACUGCCACCGGCUUUUCUGCGUGCAGUGCGCUGUGCCAUGGCAUGGCGGCAUCAGUUGCAAUGAGUUCCAGAAGCUCGGACUGGACGAGCGCGGCCCGGAGGACAUCUUGCUCAGGCAUCUGGUCGGCAGGGAGGGGUGGCAGCGGUGCCCCAAGUGCCAGAUGUACGUGGAGAAAUCGGAAGGGUGCAAUUACAUCAAAUGCAGGUGUGGAUACAGCUUCUGCUACCGAUGCGCGUCCAAGUUGUCCGCGCUAAACCAUUUCUGCAGCAAGUGCAAGCGCUGA